RNAcentral lists this ribosomal RNA (249 nucleotides) under uncultured bacterium. RNAcentral describes it as "partial 16S ribosomal RNA". It matches the Rfam family "Bacterial small subunit ribosomal RNA", at positions 524 to 772 of the family's 1533-position model. The record is from RNAcentral.
UACGAAGGGGGCUAGCGUUGUUCGGAAUUACUGGGCGUAAAGCGCGCGCAGGCGGCUAUCCAAGUCAGUGGUGAAAGCCCGGAGCUCAACUCCGGAACUGCCAUUGAAACUGUUUUAGCUUGAGGACGAGAGAGGUGAGUGGAAUUCCCAGUGUAGAGGUGAAAUUCGUAGAUAUUGGGAAGAACACCGGUGGCGAAGGCGGCUCACUGGCUCGUAUCUGACGCUCAGGCGCGACAGCGUGGGAUCGAA